AGGCGGAGGGAUACCAGCAGCUUGGGACCUUAUUGAUUCUCGGCAUAAACCACCAGAACAAAAGAACAGGCAUAGAUUCUGCAUAGGCGCAAAGAACAAUGGUUUUCUUUCUAAUCAGCAAGGGUUUCACCAUGACAACACCCCCAAAAUACAAUCUUCAGAAUCGGUACUCUAAAGAUAUGGCACAGUAGAAUAGAAAUAGCGUUUGUAUUUACUGUGAUUAUCGUAUAAAAGUGUUGUAAGAGAUAUGUACAAGAAGUAGAAUUAAAACACAAGUUCUUUUUAAAAAAAUAAACAUCGCUUUGGGUGUGUUUUAAGAUGAAGAAGAUUCAUUGUAAGAGUUGUUUAUAUUCAUAAGUUUUUGUAUGCGUAGAAUUAUAUACAUUAGUUAUUUCAAUAAAUUAUGCAUGCUUCCAUAGAACUGUGGCUUAGACUACGUCAAAUGAGAUUCUAAUCAUACUCGAGGCCUGAAAAAGAAACGAUUUACAGUUUUCUUUAUUGAUCUUAUUCUUGUUGAUACUAAUAUGAGAGAAUAUUGUUUUAUACAUGGUAAUUUUAGCCAGUGUUUCCUUAGUCUUUUGCCCACACAUAACAGUAUAUAUGUAUGAACAACUGCCUUAUUCUGAGAUUCACAAAGUAUAUAUUUAGGGAAAAUACAGUGCUUUUGAAUUUCUACAUUUCACUUUGUGUGUGUUAUAAAGCAUUAGAGAAUGCCUAUGAACUCAGCUGCUCUUGUUCACAUGUAAAACACGUCUGAGAUGCAGGCUUUGAUCAGAAUUUUCAUUACCAGAAGUAAAUAUUCCAUCCAUAGCCUGUGUGACUUAUUAGUCAAUGAUACAUUAAACAUGUGUUUUUUUUGAUCUAUAAUCAAUAAAUCUAUUCCAAAUAUACAGUAACAUUGCAGAAAUUUAGGCUUAAAACAAGGUGGCUUUCAUAACACAGGCAAGAGUGACUUUGGUGUUUUAACUCUGAUGUUUCACCGUAAAUUGUUUUCUCCAUUAGUAAAUAAACCUAUGAAUCUAUUUUAGGAUAUCAUGUGGAGUCUUUGUUCUGUUUUUGUUAAGGUUGUUACUAUUGCUCAUUACUUGAAAUAUCAAAAAAAUGCAAAGCAUCUUUAUUGUUUCCUAAAAAUAAUAUAAUAGUAUCAUAAACACAGACUACGUUGAAGUUUGUGUUGAUGUCGUAUCAACACAAAGAAUCUUUUUAGAUUCUUUCCUGGCCUCACCCCUGUCAUUUAUCUAGAAGCUUUAAAAUCUAAGUGUGUAUAUAAGCAUGUUUUACGACUCCAUGUGAAAGGAGUAAAUAUAAAGUCAGAACUUUUCUUUAAUCACAAAGAACUCUAUGUAUGUGUAUCUGUGAGCAUCACACAAGCUUGAUUCUAUUUAACAGAAGCUUUACACAGAUGAUCAGAGAGGAGUGUGUUUACUAACACCUGUUUUAUGAUAAUCAUAAACGAUAUGCAAGUGUUACUUCAUCAGUUGAAAUCCACAAUGAACUAGGGAAUAAUAGUAGUCAGCUAUGAUAGCAAAAAAUUUAAAUGUAAAGGUUUUCUGUUUAUGCUAUGAUAAUGAACAGUAGUAUAUAUUAACUUAGAUUUUAUAGGAGAAAAAAAUGCUAAAAUAAAUUUCACUUCUCCUGAACAUCACAUAUAUCAUAUAUGAUAUACAUCAUGUAUCUUGCAAUUUUGAACAUUCUCUGUGCAAAGCAUGUGUUGUGUGAGAAUACUACUCACAAACAAGUCUUAUGCUAUAAAGGUGUGUGUGUGUGUGUGUGUGUGUCUGUGUGUGUGUGUGUGUGUGUGUGUGUACAUCAGACUUUGUUUCAUAAGCUACUUUAUGUUGUGUGUGAAUGGAUGUGACUAUCUCUGCAUUUCUCUCUCAGCUGUCACCAGAUAAUGCAGUUCUGUGGAUUCAUAAUGUGACUUGGAAAACCAGAUCAUUCUAAGCUUAAAAUAAACAAAAAGAUAAACAACAAAGAGUGAGAAGAUGAUGUGGUUUGCAUACAAAACGCAGUGAUAUUAGCAAUCUGAUGGCUUCUGGAUUGGGAGAGCAGCCUGAGCCAGACGCAUACAUUAAGAGCUGUCUGCUGCCCAUGUGAGCUUGCUCAGUGUAUUGGAAAUGAGGGAUCACCUCUCCUCUGACACCAGCUUAUUUGUACAUUUUAAUUUUGAAGUAGCAAGUCACUGUUCCAAGUUCAUAGACUAACCCCUGCUUGUUUCUCUCUCUCUCUCUCUCUCUCUCUCUCUCUCUCUCUCUCUCUCUCUCUCUCUCUCUCUCUCUCUCUCUCUUAUUGUUUGCUAAAUUACUGUCAACUUCACAUUCUUUUUAGAAAUAAAAAUCAUUACUCAACUUAGCCAUUUACUGCACACUAAUGAAAUAGUAGUUUUCCUUUGUCUCCGUUGUGUGCCUCUAACAAUAUUGUGAUACCUGUGUUUUUAGGUUUAGAUCUCUUUCAAGGGGAACUGGACUUAUUUUUUUCUACAUGACAAUGUUUAAAGCAUUUUAGAAUCCAUAAAGGAGACCAUUUGGAAUUUUGCCAGAUCUUAAUAUGAUUAUAUUUUCCUUUAGGAUUCUCGAGAUCAAUAUCACUCUCAGUUUAAAAUUCCUAAACAUUUCAGUCUUCCACUGACACAACAGAAGCGUAGACAUAUUCUUAAGUCAUUUCAUAAUCUCCCAAGGAGGAAUCUCCCAAGGAGUAUCUCAGGGGAAUUACAGUAAAAAUUAAUUAUUAAUGAAAUUAGAAAAGGUGGGGCUUACCUUAAACUCAUCUUCAAAAUGGCAUGCUGGUACACGUGCUAACCUUGAACGAAUAUAUUUUAAAUAUGCAAAUGACCUUGCAAGCUGUCAUGUUUGGAUGAGUUUAUAGUAUAGCAACAUACAAAGGGGGGCUGAAGCUCAAGUUUCCUUGCCAUUUUCACAUGCAAUGCAGCCUCCUUGUUCAUAGGCAGCCAAGGAAGGCACAGUUUUGAUGCCUGGAUUCUUUUGUCUGAUUUGUUAGUAGACUUUUAAUUCAGUAUUCAAAUCCCACUGAUCCCUAAGUGACUGCAUCUGAAAAAAAGCAAGCAAGUUUCCAAAUAUAGAUGAGUUU
RNAcentral lists this long non-coding RNA (3087 nucleotides) under Mus musculus (house mouse). RNAcentral describes it as "long non-coding RNA chr16:77646339-77649426". Lineage: Eukaryota; Metazoa; Chordata; Mammalia; Rodentia; Muridae. The record is from RNAcentral.